CCCAGCCUACGGGGGGCAGCAGUAGGGAAUCUUCCACAAUGGGCGAAAGCCUGAUGGAGCAACGCCGCGUGGGUGAAGAAGGUCUUCGGAUCGUAAAACCCUGUUGUUAGAGAAGAAAGUGCGUGAGAGUAACUGUUCACGUUUCGACGGUAUCUAACCAGAAAGCCACGGCUAACUACGUGCCAGCAGCCGCGGUAAUACGUAGGUGGCAAGCGUUAUCCGGAUUUAUUGGGCGUAAAGGGAACGCAGGCGGUCUUUUAAGUCUGAUGUGAAAGUCCAUCGCUUAACGGUGUAUCCGCGCCGGG
This 305-nucleotide ribosomal RNA is filed under the name uncultured bacterium. Its description in RNAcentral is "bacterial SSU rRNA". It matches the Rfam family "Bacterial small subunit ribosomal RNA", at positions 330 to 630 of the family's 1533-position model. The record is from RNAcentral.